Marmota flaviventris (yellow-bellied marmot) is the source of this 2512-nucleotide long non-coding RNA. RefSeq lists it as uncharacterized. The record is from RefSeq and is a predicted model, not a curated record. NCBI's taxonomy places the organism in Eukaryota, Metazoa, Chordata, Mammalia, Rodentia, Sciuridae.
ACUGACCUUCCAGUCACCACUGAGACUCCUCUUUUGCUUUUUUCUUUCUUCCAUCCAAUUUCAGACUACUGAAUGAAAGUAAGCUGAAAGCAGACACCUUCUAUUCUUCAGUUCAGACCCACCCCUUCUGUUAGGAUGCCGUUUCCCUGGACCUGCUGCCAAGGGAUGGAACCCACCUCACCUGGAAUAGAUCCUGAACUCCCCUAUGGAACCUUCUGGAAUAUCCCAGUUCACUGCUCAUUUACAAAUUGCCUCUGCAGAUGUCUGACCUCUGGCUUCCUCAUUUUAGAAAGUAGCGUUUUCUUGUGAUAGAAGAGAUGUUUCUGGAAGAGGGAAUGCACAUUCCCCCUACUCCAGGAAUUCCUCAGGACCUGUGGGGGUCCUUGACAUACUUGAUGGAAAAGAAUUUCAACAGUGGACGCUUAGAGAUUUAUUUAGGAAAGCAAGGAAUAUAUAUUCGAGGGAGAAUAUGAACUAUCUUGAGAGUGAAAGAUGAAUUUUGGGGGGAUUCCGACUCUUUUAAAGAAAACUUGGUAGGUAUGGGAAGACAUGUAAAGAUGACAUCAGGUUGGUUCUUAGGUUAACAUGGUCCUUAUUAUCUGAUCAAUGGAGAACACUGGAAAGUCCCCUAAAUUACAGAUUUCUUAAAAUAUUGCAUUUCUCUUUGCUUCAUCUAUUGACUGGUGGCCUAAUUAACAAUGAAGAACAUCAUUGUUGUAAGUGAGUGAAUUUACAGUAACACUAAGAUUUACAAAUUUUCCAGAGUUACAGGAGCAGCAGACCUGGGAGGGAGACUGGCUUGGGGAGUGACAGUCCUGAAAAAGUGGACACUGUCCUCCUUGGGGAGCUAGAUGGAGGUGGGGUCAAGGAACUAUCAACACCAUCCUGCUCAUCCUGCCCAUGAUGAUGGAAAAGGAAAGUCCAAGAAGAAGUUGGGUCUGAGCUGGAGUCUGCAAAAGGGAGCAGGAUGAUCACCCUAGGGAGCACCCAUUGCCCACAUAUGUGGGUAUAGAUGUGCUCCCACUGACAGCAGAAUUACAUUAAAAAUAUUCUUUUGAUUAUGAAGAAUAAGUCAAAAUGGCAAAACUUCAUGAUAACAGCCAGGUCUAUUUCUUAUACAAAGGAAAAAAAUAUUGAAGAUUUGCUGAAAAAGGAAAAGAAGGCAGCUUAAUGGGAACUACUUUACAAAAAUGUAAAUUACUCACCAGUGAUUACCAGGAUCAUGAGGACCUACUAACAUGACUGUCAUGUAAGGUGGAACAAAUUCAUCCUUGUAAAAAGGCAGAGACAGAAUUGAGGCUUCUUUUCCCUGACCUUCUCCCUGGUCUUCUUUUCCCUGAUUUUCUUCUGCCUGAUCUCUUCCCUCAUUUUCUCUGAAUCACCUCUAUAAAAACCCCCUGUUCCUGCUAGUGGGAAGAAUCACAGCCUUUGAGACAGGAGCCCCCUGUGUGUUUCUCCUUUGCUAGCAAAGCAAUAAACUUUUUCCUUUUUUCUCAAAACCAUGUCCUCGUUAUUGGAUUGGCAUCAGGAAAAAGGACCUAGCUUUCAGCAACAGAAUUAGGAUCCCACUUUAGCCCGACUCUUCCCCUUUAUAGCAAAAGGAGGAAACUGAAACCUAGGAAAUGGAAACCUUAGUCUGUAAUCAAACUGCAAGGCAGUGAAGGAGCAAGAGUAGAAGCCAAGUCUCUCCCUUCCCUGAUCUGACUCCAUCCACAGGUUCACUUCACCACAGGUGGGUGCACAUCGAAACCACCUUGGGAGCCUUGCAAAGGCAUGAGCUUGGCCUAAACCUGGCCCAUACACAGGUCUAGCAAAUCUGAAUCCUUGGCCUGGGACUACUGGCUCAUUCCAGACAGGCUGGAUCAGGCAGGAGAAAGCUCUAUAGAAGUUACUGAAGUUGAGAACUGAAGAAGUGGUAUAAUGCUCCCUUCCACCGCCCACCACAGGUCAUGUGAGAGGAGCCCCGGGGUGGCAGCACUAGGAGGGGAUUCUGCUUCGAAGCUUCAUGCCAAUCUAUCAUCAUGAACUCUCAAGCCAAGGUAGAUCCAGCACCUGGAAGUGACCUGGUUUUUGGAUGAAUGUCUAGAAGUUAUAUGUGUGAUAGACUCCUCUCCCUCAGAAAACAAUGGUGCACUGGAAAACCAGCAUGCAUCCAAGGCAAUGUGUAGUUAUGUUUCUAGAGUAAACUGUCCAAUGUCCACUUUGAUCCUGUCAACAGUUGCUUCUAGAUGAAGGCAGGGCACAUGCAUGGUCCCAGCUGACUCCCUUCUGCUGAACUAGGCUGUUUCUCAGUGGCACAGGCAAGGUACUAUAGACAGGAACUGCAUAUGAAGCAGGAUCUCCUUUAAAAUACACAGUAGUCAUCUUUUAUCCAUUGGGGAAGACAUUCCAGGAUCCAGUGGACCUCUGAAGGGUAACAAAUGCUCUAUAUAUUUGUGUUUUGUAUACUGUACAUAUAUACCUGUUAUGAAAUUUAUUAGUUAAGCACAAUAAAAAAUAAUAAAACAAUUUU